GCUGCUCCCCCUACAUACCUCAUAUCCCAUCAGCUCAACGGGCGAAUCGUACAACUGCUCCGCCCCUUCCCCUGUACUUGGGGUCAAGUGGGCUGGAGGAUCGCAGGGGCAGAGCUAAGAGAGCAUGAAGGCAACCAGGCCUGGACUGGGACCCACAGAGAGAAAACAUGAAAUGAAGGCAAGUGGGGGACUUUAUAGUGUGUGUGUCAAUCUAUUUCAGUCAGUAUGUUUGUGUGCUUAGGUCAGUGUGUGUCUGUCUGAAUCAGUGUGUGUGUCUGCUUGGGUCAGUGUGUGUGUAUCUGCUUGGGUCUGUGUGUGUGUGUCUGGAUCAGUGUGUGUGUCUGCUUGCGUCUGUCUGUGUGCAUGUGUCAGUGUGUGUAUCUGCUUAGGUCUGUGUGUGUGUCUGGAUGAGUGUGUGUGUAUCUGGAUGAGUGUGUGUGGGCGUCUGGAUCAGUGUGUGUCUGCUUGGGUCUGUGUGUGUGCAUGGGUCAGUGUGUGCACCUGCUUGGGUCUGUGUGUGUGUCUGGAUCAAUAUGUGCCUGCUUGGGUCUGUGUGUGUGUUUGGAUCAGUGUGUGUGUGUCUGU
This is a non-coding RNA of Pelobates cultripes (western spadefoot toad), 585 nucleotides long. The record is from the annotation of a GenBank genome assembly. NCBI's taxonomy places the organism in Eukaryota, Metazoa, Chordata, Amphibia, Anura, Pelobatidae.